Molecule: long non-coding RNA, 1177 nt
Organism: Choloepus didactylus (southern two-toed sloth)
Lineage: Eukaryota; Metazoa; Chordata; Mammalia; Pilosa; Megalonychidae
Exons: 2
Source: RefSeq, a predicted model, not a curated record
UGCUGGAUGGAGAUUCUGUUUUCUCCUUGCUAAAAUAGAAGUGAUUUGCAGGCUCUCCCUAUGGAAUCCAGUUUGACUCUCCCUAGAGCUAAACACAGGCACACUAACCCCAAAGGGAGGAGGCGGGGCCCUUGCCGCCCCGCCCCGCCCUUUCAUUUGCAUAACGUCGUCCUUCCGCCUCGCCUCAGCCAAUCGCAGUUCAGGACUGGCCGGCUUGCAGCGCCGGGCCACCUCCCUCAUUACCAUCCCUCUCCGGGUGGCGCAGGGGAGCCGACCAAAGUUCCUGGCAAAGUAGCGAGCCUGGGAGCGCUGAGCACCGGCGUCUGGGCUGGGGAGGAGCGGUGCCGAGCGGGGCCGAGAGGGGCCGGACAUUGGGCAAGAGGAAAGGAAGGGGAGUAUCUUUCCCAGGGAUCUGAGCUGGGGUCUGCGUCCUGGCCACUGCGGUCCCUUAGCAUCCUGGCUGCGUCCCGAGCGCGCUCCACGCGCUUAGGCUGCGCCCUCGCAGGGCUGAUGCCGCAUCCUGCUCCGCUGUUUUGCGAUGUCGAGGGCAAAAGUGGAUGAGACGGGAGAGCCUGAGCAGAGAAAGCAGGACGCACGUCCCAGGAACCAGACAGAACUACUGGGGCUGCAGACCACAAGAACUGAAAUGAAAAAUUCCCAGGAGGGUUUCUACAUUAAAUUGAAGCUGGCAGGAGAGAGAAUAGUUAUUAAAAUUGCAGGAAAAUAAGAUAAAGAGAAAAAUCGUAUUGGCAGCCAGAGAAAAAACAGACAAGUUGCCUUUAAAGGAAUGGUGGUUAAGACUGACUUCACACAAACAUCUAGCUGUCUUCUCAACAGCAGUGAUGGAAGACAGAAGACAAUGGGAUGGUAUCUUCAAUGCACCAAAGGAAAAUAGCUGCCACUGUAGAGUUCUGCACCCCAUGAGUGACAAACUAAACCUGAGAGAGUUUGUCACUAGAAGAUACUACCUGAAGGUAAUCCUAACAGAUGUGCUUCAGGAAGAAAGAGAGUUAUACCAGAAAGAAGAUCUCAGAUGCAAGAAUGGUUGUAGAAAAAAGAAGGUAAAGAGCAUGGGCAAAUAAAAUAAACAUCAACUCUGUGAAAUAGUAAUAGUAUUUCUAGUAAGUAAAAAAAAAAAAGAUUAACUUAAAGUACCAGACAACAAAAUCAUAUGAGU